AGGAGCGGCGGCGGCGGCGGCGGGCUGAGCUGCCGAGCCCGGCGGGGGCGGGGAGGGAGGGGAGAGAGGGGGGCCCCGACGUCUGCUCCGCAGCCGCUACCCCUCCGCGCUGAGCAUCUUCCCCGCGCCCCGCGAGAGUGCUGAUAACAUGCCCAUAGCCAUGAGCUCGGUGACGUGUAGAGGGUUGGCUGGACUGACUCAACCACAAGAUAGUGCUGACUUUGAGUGCACUGGUACGUGUGUGAGUAAAGGCAGCAGUGUUUGCCUAUGAAUCAUGAAGAUCAACUGCUGAUUAUUUAAGAGUCGAAAGGAAUGCUUGAAGUAGUAAUGAAAACUCCUAGAGAUACAGUUUUCUAUAUCAUAACUGAUUUAAUGUAAUUACUCCUGCCAAAAUAAUGUUGGGGUAUUCUAAGCAUUAGCUCUAAAGCACGUUUUAGAGUGAGAUUUGGAAAAUUAUUUUGAUUUUAACUGAGUACUCUCUGCUUCUUUGCAGAGCUCCGUUGUUUCAAUAAAAUCUUAUAGACACAGUCUGCUGUUUAUACAGAUUUGAUGUAGCCCAUCUGGAGAAGGACUGAACAGAAUACAAAAGUUUAGUUUCAUCCUGAAUCAGGAGAAAACAUAAACAUUUUGCAACAUAUCCUGAACAGAAUUCCAAAAACUGAGUCUGGAAAUACGAAAAUGUCCAUUUCAAAACAUUUCUUUUUCAUAUUUUCAAAACAUGUCAAUGCAGUUUAAAUUUUAACGUCUAGAUUGUCAGUGUCACUUUUGUUCUGACAUGAACAGAUCUUUUCAAAGCAGAUGCUUUGGCAGCAUUUCCUUAAAAUGCUGAAUGAUGUUUAUAGAAUUGUCUAUACUUUUCCAAUACCUUGGGUCUCCACAUCUCUAUCCCUGCAACUAACAAGACUUUUAUCAGUCUGAACUUGCUUUGUCCUGGAUUUUGUGAUCUGCAUUUUUAAAUUGAAAUCAGAUCUUUAGAAUAGGUGGGAUGUGAUCCAUUAACAACUGUCUGAGUUAGGAGCAAUAAUUACCUGGAAUUGCUAAGCCAGAGGAGGAAGCAGUUAAGGCUGUCAGCAUGAGGCCAAUCUGAUGAUGGCAGAGCAUAGUGGAUGUGCCAGCCGGUUUCUAUACCUGCCAUAAACUUCAUUACUUCUAUUGAUUGUAACAUACUCCAGCCUAGAGCAGCUCUCCAUGAAGGAAAAAAAGUGUGUAACACACAGCAAGUCCUAGGAAAGGAUGAAGGUUUCUAGCAAGAUGGCAAAAGAAAGGGCAUUUUUAGACAUUUGGAAGGUUAAUGAAGAGGCGAACAUGAACCUGGAUUUUGUAAUGACAGGGAAGAUCUACAUGAUUUCACCACUAAGUACAUUUCCCAUUCAGCCACUUUGACCUUCUUUUUGCCUGGCUUCCUUUCCAGCCAGCAGCACUUUCUCUAAGGCCUGACCAUCUACAGGUGAGCAGGUGCCAUGGCUGUGUCAGUGGUGAGUGAGCCACAUCUGCACCUGCACGCUGCCAUCAGCCCAGACUGCUGUACCUGGUACUCACCCUGCUCGUGUGAUGGAGCUGAAGAGAACGUUGGCUACUCGGCAUCCUGACAGGCCCAGGCACCAGGUUCUGCCAGUUCUCCAACAGAAGGGCUUUCAUCAAUUUAUAAUGCAAGGCAAGAAAAGAAAAGCAGCAACCCACUGAACAAGACUAAAUCACAACAUGCCUUUGAAUCAAUGAGCAAUGCCCAUUAGCAAGCCUGAAGCCUGCAGAGAAAAACUGCUAAUUCCAGCAAGGAUAGUUGUUUGUGGCUAAACUGCUCAGUGGAAUGGAGCCAGGGAGUGAACCCAGGCACCAUACUGCUGAUCAUACAUGUUAAUGAACUGAUAGCCUUCACCCUGGGAUGACAAAUUAGCACUUUGUGGCAUAGUUCUCAGGACAGCCUGCUCCAGGGACCAUUCUCACUGGCUAGUUCAGACAUCAUCACCUGUUUUUUGGAGGUAAGGCUGAGAUUUUUGAUGAAUAGAUGUAAAUCAGCUCAUGCCAUUUAAUUUCAGAGCCCACUAACAGUCCUCAACCAUGUUCAGUUUGUAAUCUAACAGCCUCUCUGCAACUACUCUCAAAAAAAUCCUUCUUUAAAUAGUUUCUAACUUUACCAGAAGGUAUCUUAACCUAACUAAGUCCAUCAGCAGAGAAUGGCCUUGGUGGCUUUCUAAAACCUAUACACUGUGUCUUCAUACACAGAUUUAACUGCUUUUCUUUAAUCCCUAAAAAACUCAUAUGCUCUGCUAUUUUGUCAGUGUUCUUACUGCAGUUAAAAAUAGAAAAGAAGAAAAUUCAAGUUUUGAAGUUGUAAAUACUACAUGAUAACUGAAAGUGUCAAUCAGAGGAUUUCCACAAACCAGUUAGCAGCAUGAAAGUUGCAGAAAUAUCAAACAGUACUACAUUUCUUGGAGUCUGUAUCCAUUUUAACAUUUAGGAGUUUCUCCACAACUAUGAGAUAUACAACCUUUACCUGAGUGGAAGUAUUUUGCUUCAGAAAUAAGAUAAGCGGCUUUCAAAUCUUUUUAGGUGAAACUUCUGCCUUCUCAAUUACCCCCAAAAACCAAACUUAACCUCAAAAAGCAUACAGACUCUGACUCCUCUGGCUUUUACUUGCUUCUCUUAAUGGGUAAGAACAUCGCUUUGCUCAACUUAUAUGAUGUAUUUGAUGUAGUAGAAACAAUAAGCUACUGGAUCACUUCAAGAAUGACAAGAAACAUUCUAAAAUUCUUCCUGCUCCACCUUUCAAGUCAGCCCAGAGGAUCACCGCACCACUCAGAUUUAGUGACUCAUAAAAGUCAGAAGUUUUCUGGCAUAUUACUCAACAUGCAGUCACUGCUAUGAUGAGAACAUUGCUCUCAUCCCCAACCACUGCAGAAGAGAUCACUAUCCAGACGAAAAGAGGAAAUUUUCCAAUAGAACAGAGCUCAGUAACAUGAAAUCUGGAUAUUAGCACAAUUUUAUUCCCCAUCAUACAGUCACCCAUUGAACAGUAGAGGUGAAAAGCACAAAUUCAGAAUAAAACAACAGUUUAGCAUGUGAUAAUUAGCCACAGGGAGUACCUAUUUCUUUCCACUGACCUUGGAGAAUGCCUACAAAGUAGCAGGGAUACUAAUAAUGCUUAUUUUAAAGAAUAGAAUUAGCAAAUAAUCUCUCUACACUUUUGUGAACUUAAUUAUAACAAUAACUACUAUAUUUCUUUGUUAAUAAUAAGUAUAGCAUUUCAUCCAACAUAACUCAUUUUCUUGCAUUUGCAGCUGAAAAAGAACUAAAUGGUAAGAAUGUGCUAUUUUGCGGAAAGUGUCAACUUUCUACCAGCCUUCAUAGUCUGAUCAACCUAAUUUUUAGAAACCCAUGAAAUUUUACAGAAGUAGAGCUAAAACAACCCAAACAAUAACAAAAUCAUCAAGUUUCAUAUUCAACUUCUUUAAAAGAGCUGGAUUGUCAUACACAAAGCAACGAAAAGCCAAAGUCAUAUCCUAGAAAUAAUUAUUGAGUAGAAACAUUUAAAAUGUUCCUGUAUCUUAUAUCUUGAGGAGCUUCUCCAAAGGCAAGCUGCUACAUCUAUGCAGUAGUGAUCCUCAGUAGAGGUGUCCCUGUAAUACCCAGGUUUUGACAUAAAGGAUAAGGAAGAACAGAAGCUUGCAUGGAGACCUUGUAACAACCUUCCAGUACCUGAACAGGGCCUAAAGGGAAGCUGGAGAGCAACUCUUCAUCAGGAAUAAGGAGUAAUAGGUACAAAUUGAAAGAGAGGAAAUUUAAAUUAGAUAUUAGGAAGAAAUUAUUGUGAGGGUGGUGAGACACAGGAGCAGGUUACCCAGGGAGGUUGUAGAUACCCCAACCCUGGCCAUGGUCAAGGCAGGUUAGAUAAGCCCUUGAUCAGCUUGGUCUAGUGGAAGGUGUCCCUGCCCAUGGCAGCAGGGGUUGAGACUAGAUGAUCUUUAAGGUCCAUUCCUACCCCUUAACAUUCUGUGAUUCUAUGAUAUAAGCAAGUAGUCUACUACAUCCAAAUCUCUGAACAUGUUGAAAGAUCUAAACAAUCUCAAAUUCCAAUAAAAAGGUAGUGAUAUAUUGUAAACUACAUAAACAGCAAGGAUGUUACAUUCUGGACAAUUUUAACAACUGAAGGAAGGAGUCAUAGGCUCAUGCCAUUGCCAUGUUGCAUUCAGCUACUCUACACUUCUGGUGAGGCCCAGAGUACAUCCCCUCUGCUGUCCGUGGCCUCAUGGAGGCCCCCAGACACCGCCAUGGGGAAGCUCUGCACAACAACCCUGGGCCAUGUCUGACCCCAGCCCCCACACACCCUGCCUGAUCAUGACACCCCUUGUGGGCCGAUAUCCCAGCACAGCCUGUUCCCUUCCCUAGAAGGUGCCCAAUCCCUGGGGCUGCCCCGGUCCCCUGCAGAUUCCCUGUUCCUGGCUGGGGUGGUGGGAUGAGGCUCGGCUGCCAGGCCCUGCCCUGCUGCCCUGGGGAGCCCCCAGUCUUGCGGGACCCUUUGCUUCUGGACCCUUCCUAAAUCUUGUUCCUCUGUCUAUUCUCAAAAUCCAUUCCUUUCCAGCAGCAAUGGUAAAACAUUACUUUCAGUGUUCUGCAAAGCAACUCCAUCAAGCAGACGACGGAGCUCUGUGACACGUGUUACACAUCCGCUUAGCUCAGCUUGGAAAUACUACGGCUUUAAAUACCAACACUCGAGACUUCCGUCGGCAUCUUACAGAAAAGUUGAGUCAUUCCUGGCUCAGACACUGCCAGUCAGAGGGAAGAGGCUGUGGGCAGGAGGGUGCUGUGUGCCCACACCGCCCCACCUGCCAGGCACAGCUGAGUGCCGAAGCGCUGCGGCACAGUCAGUGCAGCACCAGGCUCCCCCUGUGCCAUCCCUGCCCCACCGGGAGACACACAAAGAUUCCCAGCAGAAGCAAGUCACAGGUUGAGACGUACAGAAGCACCUAGGGAACAGCUGCCCAGAUGUGUGGCCUCAGCCUGUGCUGAUGUACCCAGGUAGCACAGCUACUAACAACACCACACUUGUGGUACCACAGGUUUCAACAGCUAUUCCCUCAGAUAAAAUUUGAGAUGGAACAAUUCAUUUGUAAAGGAUAAACCGGGUAAGCCAGGAUGUAUGAGACCUCUGAAAUCACACUGUCACACUGCAGUGCAGGCAAACAGAGCCACCCUGGUGAUGUAGGACAGCUGGAAGGCUGUGUUUUCCUUGGUUUUUACCUGAUCAAAUGAAACUAAAAUUUAAAUCACUCAUAAUAAAAUAUAGAUAAGCUAAUUUUUCUUCUAGAGUGGACAGACAAACUGAUUAUGAGUCAGAAACUCACUGUGCCAAACACUGUGAAGAUAAUAUGGUGAUCCCUCCUCUGAGGAGUUUGCAAAGUUAAAGUAGUUAUGUCUGCAGAGUGAGCAAUGGAAGAAGUAGCAGGCUUUAAUUUACAGCUGAUGUCUAAAUUAGAAAGCAAUCAAAAAACCUGGGUAUCACAGAAUGUGAGAGAGCUGACAAGUAGAGGAAAAUUGUUGGAAACAAGAUAAUAAUGGAAGAUAUAUAACACCAAGUGCCUAGAUUAUUCUCACCCAUACUUUGUAUCAACUCUUAGAGCAAUUUUUCAAAAUUAUGUAUAGUAAUAAAGUAAAACACAAGUAAUAAGGGCAGGCUGCCAAAUAGUACUUAGAAUACAAAUCAAAGGAGUAUGCUCGAGUACACAUUAAAAUUUAAACUUUUCAUCUGCUACUUGUAUGACAGUAUUGUGAGAAAGACAGAAAUGGAAAACUUUUGUCCCUAAUUAAAACUCCCCGUUGAGAUGCAAGUUGUUAGAAUUUCAUACAAAGAGUUGUUACAGCAAGACAGUAAUGAAGAUGGGUUUUGGUAACUAAGACAAAGAGGACAGGGAGUUGAAGAUAGACAUUUGUCACUGCAGAUAAGGGAAUAUUUUUAAACUGGUUUAAUGCAUGUACAUACUUUAUGAUACCAGGGUAAAAAUCAUGCUGAGGGCACAAAUUCUCCUGCCUUUUCCAGAAUACUAGUACAAUGAAAUGAGCAGAAAAAGAGAGGAAGAAGCAAAAAAAAAAAAAAAAUCUUCAUUUUUUCAAGCACCUCUUCAGUACUUGUAGGUACAAGCCAAAAGUAUAUGUGGGUCCUUUUAAAUGUGCGCUCUAGUGCCUGGACACAUUUCCUGAACACUGUUUAAUUUACUAAUAUAGACAUAACUAUGGAAUUCAUUGCUCUGAAGUCACAAUUAAUUUGGUAAUAUACUAUAAGCCAGAGAGGUUAUGUCUCCUGCUUGCUUAUUACUGCAGCAAGUACAAAUCCACCAGCAAUAACAGACACACAGAAUUAAAGAGGUAGUAUCCUGGGGGGUCCACAUGGAAAUGAAUACAAUAACGGCUUGGAAAAAUAUGUCUGAAAUCAGAAUUCUAAUCAAAAUAGUUCUUCCAAGUUUUCUGUCUCUAGUACUUUCCAAAUUGUCUUGGUGUGUCAAGAACCAUCAGGGCAAUCUGUAAUCUGCCAGGCAAGUCUGUGACAUUUCAUACGUUCUCCUGAGAAACAUCAUACCAUAAGAGGUUACUCUAGAAGUGAAGCUCACAAUGACAAGAAAUAUUUAGGACAUAAUAGAAAUAGUCUUUUGAAAUACAGAGAGAAAAGAAAAAUACUUGCAGGCUUCUCAGUUCAAGGUCAAUUCUGGCAAUGCACAUUAUGAACCUUAUGAAAAAGCUUUUCAUGCCAAAAUGACCGAUCCCUGCAUUUUUUAUUUUGAGCAGUAAGACAAGUUUGAAAUGUCCAAAUAUUGGCAGAAGAUUAUUUUGUUUUCAUAUAACAAUGUAAAUUUUGUAGCUCAUUAGUAAUGGAAUUCUCCAAGUAUUACUCUUCCUUUGUUUAAGGUAGGGCUUGUGGGCAGAACUGAGGCAGAGGAGUGUUGUCGCAGCACCAGUAUUGUUGCUAUUGCACUGCUUAGAAACAAAAGUUAAAAAUAAUGCUCCUUGUUAGUUCUUCACACUCACAAAUGCCUUAGUAUUGGUUACUAUGAUAGUUCCUGAUUAUGUCUAGCAACAGUAGUCAAAAGAAUUGAAAAGCAAACCUCUACCAAUUGUUAACAAAUGAGAUUCUGGGGUUUAAUCAUAAAGACUGAGUAGUUUUUUUGUAGUUGAAAGUUAUGUCUGCUUCCACUUCACUAAGAAAUUCUGGCAGAAAUAAAUUUUGCAAAUUCACAUAUUUCUGCAUCCAGUACUGGCUAUUGCAUGCUUAAUUUCAUUUGAGUACAAAGAAUUUCUGAAUUGCAACAUCUAGUUCUAGUUGGUCUUACGUUUUUCUAGAAUAACAGAGGUCACAAGGGUGUUUCAACACAUGAAUCACAAUCAAUUGCACAUUGAUCUUCUAUUUACCUGGUAUUUUUAGGCAAGCUUCCCAGAGCUUAGAAGGCAUUUACAUCACACCUUUGUAAUACUUCUGAUAGGGAGGGUUGGCUACAACAAGAUGAAAGAAUGGGUUUGAGCUUUAGAAAAAGUGUACCACUUUUUUUUUUGAUUAUAGAAAGAUGGAGCUUUCUAUCUCUGCCAGCCAAAUAAUUGCUUUUUAAAACAUGCCAUAGCACUUUUCAGACUGGUUUAUGCUUUUUGAUGAAUUUUUUGGAUGUUGCAGUCUUUUGAGAUAAUUGUAUGCAGGGAAGUACCUCUACUUCUAGUCUUGUUCAAUGACUGCAGUAGAUCUCCAUUCUACACCAAGCAAGAAAAGAAGUAAGAAGGUUAUUCUGGCAAAGUGGGGCACCAAUCCAGUUCCCUGAAUAGGUUGUGUGGCAUAGCAUUAGAUGAAAAUAGCUGAUGAGUAGAUGCUCUGCACCUUUAUAUUUAACAGAAAAUGCACAGCCUUAUUUAAAAAGCUCUCUUAACAGUGAGCUAAAGAAAAAGAAAACAGAUACCAGAUUAAUAAUUUUCAGUAGUACAUGAUAUAAGCUCUCAUUUCUGUCCUGAUGGGAGUCUGUGUUGCACUGUGGACCUCUGGGGGUCUAACAAUCAUUUCUAGUGUCUCAAUAGGACUAUUGUCAAUAGGUUUAUAUUUGCUGCAUAUAAACCCACAUGCCCAUCAGAAAUAAGACCACAUAUAGUGAAUGAGUUUAAAAAACAUAAGAAUUGGUUUUCUGGUGUGCAGACUGGGAAUUUAUCAUAUCUGUUAUGCUUUAUUUUCUAUAUUAUUCUCUGAAAUAUUCCAAAACUCAUUCACUAGCAUAUUAGGAAAACACAAACACAGCUGAAACAAACUAAGGCCUGUAGUUUGUGGAAAUAUUUGUAGUAUUUACCUAGCAUUAAUAACAUGAACCUUGUUUGCAAAAAUAACCAACUGUGUAACACCAGAAAUGGCAAGAAAAAAAAAAGACAGAACAACAUUUUGUAGAACCAGCAACCCACUCUAAACCUUUUAAAAAGGGUAUGAUUUGUAGUAAUGGAAACCACCUUUUACUAGACCACACUGACACAUCUGGGAGAUACAGGUGUCUGGGCAAUAAGGCCUUCGGGUCUCAAACAGCAACUGCAGCCUUUAAAGAAAGAAUACAAGUUGAGAAUAUACAAGCUGCAUGCCUGAAGUUGCAUAUCUCAGGCCAUCUGAGAGAAAAAGUUGGUAAGUAUAAAGUGAUUUUAAUAAAAAUAUGAGUGGCUGCACCAGGCCACAGCAGAGCUCUAGAGAUGUGUUUAAAUCAACAUCCUCAUUUCAGCAAUGACCCAUACAAAAAGAAAGUUGCUCACAUUCCGUUGGAACAUUCCACUUUGGAUAUAAAAAUGUUUCAAAUGUAAUAAAUUUACCAAUUUAAAAUUCUACUUAGACUGAUACUACUUCCCAGAAAAAAUGUAAUUUGAAGUCCUUUGUGAUUACAGUACAAGUUUAAAUAUUCCAGGUAAUUUUGAGGGCUGAAAUAAAACAUGGCUCCAGCAGUUUAGAUAAAUACUAUCAGUAAGAUAAAUACUAACUACUCAGCAAUGGAAUUACACAUUAUUAAAGUCUCAUACCUUGGUCUUAUUUAACCACGGGUAUUUUAUCUUUAAUCAAUAAAUAUAAUAUUAGUGCUAAAAUCCAAAAUACAACUAUAUGUUUGGAUUCUGACAUAAUAAGAAGAGUUAAGAAAACAAUCAAGAAAAAAAAAAAAGUAAGGGCAUGGAAUUACUGUGCACUGACAUUCUCGAUUCCUCUCAGAAGAGCACCAGAUCCACCUAGUGGAAAUUUUCUUUAUUACAAUGACUCUAAAAUGCCAUCUUGUAAGCAGUAUCACAAUUUAUGCUGCUUGGUGGGAAAGCUAAUACGUGUUAUUGUCACUGAAUCACACAAUUUAGGGCUGGGGAGAUUUUUGCUAGGUUUCUUCCUGUCAUGCAGGUCUAUUAUUUUGCCUUUCACCUAUCUUAAAUUUAUGAAAGGAUGAUGUUUACACUGUUCAUUUAGAGAGAGAGAGAGAGACAGAGUUUUCUAAUUUUUUAUCUGUCAUUAAUUUUUUUUUUUCCUAAGUAAAUUAAAUGUGCCCUUUUUUUGUGUAAUCUUAUUUCUUUAAGCAAUUGGCUACAUUACUCUGACAACUAUCUGGUUUUAAACUUCAAACCUAUAAAGUUCUGUCAUGUUCCUUCUGUACUCCACAGCAGUAUUGGUAACAGUAUUAAAUUCUGUUACUGAUACAAUUUAGACUCUCUGGUGAACAUUUUCUUUUUUCUCAUAAUUCCCUAAAUCACAUAUUUGUAUCUUUCUGGUGAUAUGUGCAAAACUGUACUUAGAGGAUGCACAGAAAUAUCAAGGACACUUUAAAAUAUGUUUUGAUAACAUGUCUUUUUACAACUGUAAGACCAUAUUCAAACCAUUUUGUACUUCAAAUUAAUCUCAGGAAUAUGGGCAGGAGUUGGUGAUUCUGCAUGUGUGACUGUUUUCAGCACAUAGGACAGCAUAAUCAGAUUUCAUUCCUUCUUUGCCACAUACACACUUAUUUUCUAAAGAGAACACUAGAAAAAAUGUAUAUAAAGUUUUCUAGCCCUCAAAUGCAAAGCAGAUGUAUUAGCUGAACCCACAAGACAUGCUGAGCUAUACUUUCAGCAACUGCUUGGUUUGACCGCUGAACCAAUAUUUAUGAUCUUGCUGUGAAGUUCACAAAUUAUCAUAAUCUACAAAAUUUCUCCUUAGAAAGUGCAAAUGGUUCAAAUCUGUAGGCAGGGCUGUAAAGAGCACAGCCCUUAUAAAAUCAGGUCUAUGCUAUUUGAAUGGGAUUUAUCUUGCCUGAAUAAAAAACCACAGGUCCUGGAUAAAAUGCAGAAAUUUAAAACAGAAAUUGGAAAAUCUGUUUCACAUGGGAUUAUUCUGGAUCUUUUCAGUACAUUGACUUGUCAGAAAAAAUGAGGUUAUUUACUUUGUUCUUUUGAUUCAUAACUAGGAGCGUGGAUUUAAAAAGACAUGGUGAAAAUUGUUCUCUUUUGUGGUACAAAUGCCAUAGAAGUACAAGAGACAUAGUUGCAGGACUGAAAAAACCAGACAUAUGAUACAUGAUGUUCCUAAGGAGUAGGCAGCAUUCAUCAGUCUGGUACAUCCAGUGGCUGUUAAUGCUAAAACGUGUUGGUAUAUGAUGGUGUGCUACAAUUACUUUCUCAGAACAUAGUGAGAAUUUCAAGCACAUUUCCUCAAGUAAGAAACAGGUUUCUAGGGGAAACAGGUUUCAUCUCAGGAGUUUUGAUACUGGGACUAUUUUAAAAUUAUUAUUUUUCCUGUACAUCACAAUUUAAAGUCAAUAAUUUCUAUUGUAUUUUCUCAAGUAAAAAUCCAAGUAGAGAUUCAGAGCAAUAUUCAUUUUAUGGCACAUAAAAUGUCCACAAUAGAGAUCUCAGGACUCAUGUAAAGGUCCCUGUAAUUAACAGAGAAAAAUAGGCACCUUUAAGGCAUGACUCAUUUGAUAUAAUUUAGGCAUUUGCUUUAGGACUAGAUGAAUCACAUGAGUGAAAUGGCUGCAUAUCUUCAAUGAUUACAGCAAGAAGCUAGACAUGUAUCUCCUAUGACUGAGUUAUAAAUAUGAAUUUCACUAAUAUAGUUGGAAAUUGAAAUUUUAUCCUUCAAUUGUUCCUCCUUUUGCUAAAGCAGAACACAAUUUAGCAUGUUCAAUACAGGUCAAAGAAAACAUUAUUGAUUUCAUUCCAAUUUCAAGUGAUCAGCUAGGUACAUGAAAAAACUUUCAAGAUGAUUUAAAAAAAUAUUUAGAUAUUUUAAAAUUACAUAGAUUUUAAAAUGCAAUUCAUUUUUAAUUUUUUUGUAAUAAAUUCCAACAUUUUCCUUUUAUAACUGUGACAAAUUUAUGAAAAAGAGUGUCUGCUUCUUUUAGCCAAUAUUUUUUAGUAAAAAUAAAAUAAUCUGGACAGUUACCAGUAUAUCCAUGAUUGCAUACUGUAGGACCAAUCAUCAUAAGGAACUUAAAAAUUAACACAUGCAUAGGGAAAACAGUUCUUUCUAAUAAUGCUAUGUCUUUCUCCACUUCCACCCGCUUCAUCAGUGGAAUAUGCAAAAGAAUUAAUAUAGUGGGCACAUGAAAGACACAGUUAUGAAUUUUGCCCAACAUUGCCAUGUAUCAUAAUAUAGUAUUAGUGCCCUAUAUAGUUACAGGCCUAAUUCAUUAUAGUUGCCCUACAUAAUAAUUUAGUAAAGUUGUGCUGUAAACCCUUUUGAACUUCAUUUUGGUAAUGGCUGGUCAGAAGAUGCACUCUAAAACAUCAAUAAUGUAACCAAGGGUUCUUCUGCUUAUCCAUGAAGAGAGAAACUGGUUGAGUUAAAGCUCUCCAAGAAUACUGUUAGCCUUGUUUUUUAUUGCUCAUGCUGUAAUACCACAUGAAGACUGGCAAAAGAGAAGUCUUAAAAAAUAAAAGCCAGGGGAGGGAGGCCAUAAGUAAAUUAAACAUAACACAAGAAGCAGAUCAGGAUAAGUAUACAUUGAAUUAUACCACCCUGCUAAAUGAUUGUAUAUUUUUUUUUUUAUUACUGCUUUGUAUAUAGCUUCACACAUCAACUGAACAACUCAUGUUAUCCUACCACCAGAGACACUUAAGUGCACACAUUUGAAACAUUCCCAAGAGCCUCAUCGCAAAGCAAUGCACUGACCAGAAUGCUGGGUUCCUAAAGUAUCAAUAAGUCUCAUGAGGAGAUACAGUAGAAUUCCAAGUUUUCAGCUGCUGGCAAGACAGCUUUGGUGAAAACAUCGAAGGUGUAAGACCUCCAGAUAUACCCCAGAAUAUCCAUUGCACUGACUGGUGUUUGCUCUUUCUGUACCAGGACUACUCACUCUUGGCAUGUCAGCUAAACUGGAUUAGGAACUCAGGUGGGAAACUCACAGUGAGAGCAAAUGAAGUUUUGAAAUGUUUUAAUGGGAAACUACCCUUGGGAUAAAAAAGAUGAGGCAGAAAACAAAAUGAACAAUGAAAAUAAUUGAUUUCCCACCAUAUUUUUCAAAGCCAAGUGUCAGUUAACUACUAAAAUAAAUAAAACAUGCUACUACUUAUUAUUAUUUUACUAGUUGUGGGUAAAAACUAACUGUGGAUAUUGUCACUAGCACUCAUCUCUUACAAUUCAAUAAGAGAUUUGUUAUAAAGAAAUAGUUCUGUUGAGAGAUACUUGGGAAAGGUUUUGGGAUUUUGUUCCUUAUUUUAGUUUGGUUAAAUUUUUUAAUUUUUUUUUUUUUUUACUUGCAACACAUUAGGAGGACAUGAUGAAGACUAAGUCCAAAUACAGGAUUUCACAUGUUCAGAAUUAUGUGUGUUGUGAUUCUGAUGGCAGUUUUCUGCUUAUCAGUAAACACAUUUCUGACCCUCCUAUUCAUUUACACUUACCUUGACAUUCUCCCAUCAGAAAAUUUAUAUUUCAGAACAUCUGAGUCUAUUUAGUGUCUUGAUAAUUGCUACAUGUAAUGUCAAACAAAACAGAUGAGUUUCAGGACCAAAUAAAAUUCUUCAUUUUCCUAUUAAUUGGUCUGUGUCUAAUUAUCAGCAGUAUCUCCCUUGAUUCCUUGUAGAAAACUGCAGUAGCUAAUUCAAUACUUACACAGAAAAAAAUACUUAGGUUAACACAAACAAAUGGGAUGCUAAAAUGCUGACGCUUAUGGAAAUAUAACAAAUUGUCAGCAAUAAACACAAAAUCUCAGCCAUUUUGCUUAACAGCACCUCCUGCAAAACAGCGAGGGGGUUUUAUCCUUGACACAUUGGAAUAAUCUGUGUUAAAUUCCUGGGGAAAUGCAAAGAAGAUAGCAGAUUGCUUCUCUGCCUUAUCUGAAUUCAGUGUCCAUUAGAAAUCUCAUGAUGAUAAGUUGAAGUAUACAUCAAAAUCCACAGGAAAAUAUUUUGCCAAGAACCUCAGCUUAAAUGAAAUAUCUCCAAAGAAUCUUUUAUAAACUUAUAAAUUCUUUCUCACAUCACGGCAUUCUUGACACAAAUCUCCUUACCUGAAACACUACCCAAUGUGGUUUUUUUUUUCUAUAAUCUAUGACAUGUGGUCAUCUUUCACAUUCUCCAUAAAUCAUAAUUUUCAUAUCCAUAGUAUUGUUUAUUAUAACACCAUAAAAACACAAUUUCUGAUCAUAUUUUAGAGAGUGUUCUAGGAGCUUGCUGUCAAUCCUUGAGGGUGAAUCUCUGAUGCAAAGGGUCAGCAAGCUGAUUUGACUAAAGAAAAACAGAAAACCUAAUUGUGACAGCAACUUUGAAUAUUUGAAACUCUCUAUAUAUCUGUGUAGUCAUUUGCUUCCAUUCUAAAUAGACAUAAAAUAAGGACUGUAAUCUUUUUUAUAUGAUACUUUUAGAUACUCUGUGUUUGUUUCUUCAAAAUGCAUUUCUAGUCAUUCUUGCUAAGCCCAUUAGCUUCUAAUGGCACUUGUUCCUGACUCUUGAAAUCUCAUCCUUGCAUAUAUCUCAUUUACUAUUAACUCUCCUCAGUUCUCAGCUUCCUCUUGCCCAUGCUUCAGUUCUAGCCAAUUUCCAAAGCCAGCCACUCCAUAUGAUUAGAGGCAUAUUAGACUUUUGUCAUUUUUUUUCUCUCACAUUGUCACAUCUUAUGCUUCUGUUCCCAGAGAGACACAAAUUAUGAAAAAAAAAAAGAGUUCACAGGUCAGAGCAGAUAACCUAAAAUAAUGAACUUUUUUUGGUGGAUGUCAUGCACUAGUGCUACUGUAUACUUUGCUAUCAAAAGCAUGUGAGAAGAAUUAUUUCUGCUUGCAAAUUGUUGCUCAGCUUCAACUAAAGAAGCAGCAUAGAUCUAUCACUUCUCUUUAAUAAUGUAAAUUUAUGAACUAGCCUGGUGUUUUGCCAUCCAUCCUCCUCAGCUAUGGCUUUGAUACUUAUCUGUUGCUUAUAUAAAUCUUACAUAAAUUUAACUUAUAAAGCAGGAAGCACAAAAUACUUUGCAUUUGGUUAUGCUCACUGAAAACACAGUAGAACCAUAUUGUGUGUGGGAACACAAAUGUUUUAAAUACUUAGCUCUGCAUAAUUCUUCUUCUUGUGCUUUAUGUGUGCACAUGAGUGCAUAUGUAUUUCUUUGUGGUUCACUGGAAGGGACAGUAUUUUAUAGAAAGUCAUUAUGACUGCCUUUUCUGUUUUCAAGUAGAUCAUGCAUGUAGAACAGGAAAAAAUCCUUAGAUGAUAGAGACUGAAAGACAGUCAUUAGGAGCUCAUCUGCAACCACUGAAUAGAAUUAUUAUUGAAUCUAUUACUUUAAAGGGUUGCAUGAAGUCCAGACCCUGAGAAAAUCAAGAUGGCCAGGUGCUUGGUUGAUGCCUCAAGACUGAUAAAAAAUUGGAAAACUCAUAUAUGUCCCUCCUUUACUGAUGAAUGUGUUCAUACAACCUGAUUAGCUCAGACAGGUUCUGAUCCCGGCUUUAAUAUGUGAAGAAAAGAAUAACUAAGGUCUAACGAUAUUUUUUCCAGUAGCUUCUGUCAUUAGUUCAUCUGAAUCAGGCACUUAGCUCAUAGAUUGAAAAAGCACAAAUAAAGCAUUCUAAUGGAUUUUGAAACUGAUUUUCUGUUUUGAACCCCCAAAAAAUUGAAAGCUUUCUAAUUUCCUAUUAACAGACUCACAGACUUGCAACAGCUAUGCUGUAAUUCAUUAUCUAAUAACAUUUUGAAUAUCAUUGCACAAAAAAACCACCAAGUUUAACAGCAUUUUCUCAAAUUUUUUUUCAUAUUAUUGGAAUGCAUUCAAAUUCAUACACAUACCGCUUUUGGAUGAAUAGAGCAUUUUCAAGAUCUCUACACGGUACAAAGAACAAUCUUAAAAAUAAACAAUGAGUAAGAAAGUACAAUCUGAGGCAGGAAUCUAAAUCAGGAGUUAAAUGUACAUAACCUUGAAAGGUCUUGAUCAUUAUGAAAGGGAUUGCAAGUACUUGCCAAUAACUAUUUCAAGGAUGUAAACAUUUGGGCUGCCAGUGUGUUAUUUACAUCUAUAGAAAAUUUAUAACUGGAGAAAGUGGUAUUUAAUUUUGAAAUAAUACAGACUGAAUAUGACAGGUUUUUUGGCACCAACAGCUAUUAGAAUUGUGAAUUGCCCUUUAUGGAAAGUGACUGAAACCUUACUCCUUUGAAAGUUAAAAACAGUGAAAGACAAAAAUCCUUGAAGAUGACUUCAAGGACUCAAGCCCUGCUGGCUGUAGGCUGCAACAGAACCUUUUACAGUUGAGUAAAUGCUUUUUUUCAUCUCAGCUUACUGUUUUGAAAAAAAAUUACCUUACUUCUAUUAAUAAUCUUGGUAUAAUACUUUCCAGUCUUUUUUGAAAUCUAGGGCUGUAUCUGUAUGAUACAAAUGCAGUGGACUGCAGAGAUAUCUAAAGUAGCUCUAAAUAGUAUGAAACAGGAGAAUCAAGCAAAAGACCCAGGGUAAGGCUGCUGUCCUAAUUCUGGAACAUUAAUCACACUGAUAGGUCUAUAUGGCACAGCACUGCAUUGACUCUCACACCUGAGAAUGUUAAAAAAAUCUGUUAUAGAGGGAAAAUAUUUCUAAAGCAUUUCUGCUCUUCAAUAUCUUUAUAGGUAAAAUGACUGCCAUUCAGUCCUCUCUACCUUCAGCUAUUGAAAUCAGUUGCAAACAGAAGACAAAUCACGCUAGUUAAGAUCUGAUACACUUGGGAAUUUUAACUGGAAAUAUCAAUCCCAUGCAAUAUCCUAUAGAGCAAUGCAGAAGCAGAAAAAAAUAGAUUUAAGAAGAUUUCAAAGAAUUAUUUUUCCUUUGUACACUACUAAACACAGUAUUCUUUGAAAAGCACCAAAAUGGUACUGCAGUCCUUAAAAAAAUUAUGUAAUAAAAUCUACAGCUUUAUUUCUUUGAAAAAAGGGAAUAUUUCUUUAUGACUUUUAUCACUGCAAAUUGCUUCAAAAUAAAAGCAGAAGUAUUAGUUUGCAAUAUUAACACAAUUAUGUUCUUGUUUGCUUUUAUGUGUCAUCACCUUCAAGUAUUUUGUAUUGACCUUCAAUCAACACAAUCUGUUUUAAAAUGCCUUAAGCUAAAACUAUGAGAGGUAGUUUUUGUGGGCAGAAAAUGCAAGCAUUUGAAACAAACAAUUUAUUUCAGCUCAAGUAUCACAAAUACUGUCUACGAAAUAAAAUACCCAUAAUGAAAUUGUUUACAGCACUUAUCUUUUACUACAAUCAACAAUUCUCGUUGUAAUGAGGGAUGCUAUCCUAAGCCUGCACAUUUCACAGGUCAAAUUAAAAAUAGGAUCUCUAUAAAAUUUCUAAAUUAAUAUCAGCUUGAUCUGAAAAAGGACAUUAUUUUAAAAUGGAAAUCCAAUUCCCUUGCUGCCUCAUCAACACUUAAAAGGUUAAGCUGGUAAAAUAUAAUCCUUUAUUCAGGCCUCUUCUAAGCUACUGAAGGCAGAACAAGUUGUUGCCUAGGAAAACAAAAUAUUUAGUGACUGUACUUUAUCUGUUUUUGUAGAGAACUUGUGGGCUGGCAGAAGAAGUUAUUUUCUAGGGGUUUUAAAGGAAAUAAGAAGUCUAUUGUACUCCCUGGAAAGGAGAUCACAUUCUGAAACUUGAAAUAUGAACCUUCUGAUAGAACACCAAGAUUUUAGACAGGAAAUCAAAUGAUAAGGCAAUUUAUUUGUUCCCUGAAUGGAGAGAGAUUUUGUUAGGAUACUUCAGAGACAGUACUCUCUCUGGCAAUAGAUAGAGUGGGUUGCUUUAUAAUGUAAGAUAAUUUUUUAAAUAAAUCAAUCAUUUGUGCUACCUUGUGUGUCACAGGACAAGAAAAUGAUCCUGCAGAUGGAACACAAUAGGUGCUAAAAUUGCUCAGCUUUGAUUAUUAGUACUAAAAAUGACUGCCAAUCACUACCUGAUUAUAAUUUGUUUUGAAGAGAGCGUGGGGGAAGAGAAGGAAAGAAAUAAAAGAGAAAAAGAGGGGGGGAAGAUCUGAUUUUAAAAAUUGCAAAGCAAAUGUUUGCCUCAGAAAGGAGGGAAAAGCAAUUGCUAUCUGCAAAUUUCAAUGGCUAGAUUUACAAAUCAAACAUGGUGGUUUUAAUAUCAUUUUUAAAUCACAAAACAAUAUUUUUAUUAUUGUCAUAAUGUAAGGAAAUAAUAGAAUCAAGAAAAUUACUUCAAAGUAAGAUCAUGUCUUCUAUUUAAAUAACCUGUAGUACAAAAUGACGCCAGGUGGAUUAGAAAAUAAUCAUUAUGCUACUGAAAGAAUAAAUGUCAUGACAUUGUUCACAGUGCAACUGUUUCCUUCCUUUCUUCCUUUCCUUUCCUCCUUCCUCCCUCCCUCCUCCCACUGCUCUGAAGUCUAAGCACUGCCAUGAUCCAAAGUGGGAGUGGGAAGAAGUAAACACAAGAUGUUUAAAGGAAUUGCCAUGGUUUAUGUCAUCUCAAGCUCUUUUGCAAGUAACAGUAUAGAGGAAAGAGAAUGAUGUAUUUAAAAAGUAUUUUCUUCAGAGUGAGGAACAGAUGGAAGCUUGCACAUCAAAUCACUCCAAGGCUGUAAGAUCACUACCUAUGCAAAACAUUGCAUGCCAAAACUGUACAGGAGACUUAAACACAUCAUGAAGUUAAAAUACUGGCACAUGGAUUUGUUGAGGAUACAGAGCUUCCAAUGAGAUUUCUAGAGACAGCCACUGCAAUACUACAACAUAACAACACUUUCUCAAUUAUAAGUAACAUCCACAGUAAUUUAGGAACUGAAUGAUGUAGAUAUUAUCAGCAUCCAAAACUGAAAGAGUCUGACUGCAGAAAGAAUAAUCUUCAAAUGCAAGAUUCAAAGGAACAAAUUUUGUACAUGAUUGCAAUUGGUACAUGUUUAAUUAUUGCAAAAUAAACAGAUAUGCAUUAUUGAAACUACUUUGAGACCUCUGUGGGUGCCCUGGAUAAAGGAAAUCUACAUAAAUCCAGUAUAAGGAAAAAAAUGCUAUUUGUAUAAUAUUGCAUGGCUUUUUUUUGUACAUUUAAUGAACCUACUGAUCCAGUGUCAAAGGUAAAUAGAGUAAUUUAGAGUGUUAUCCUUGGUAUUUGAAACCAUAGUAGUUACCAGAUAUGAAUGUAAUCCAAUUUACAGCAUUGUCCUACUAAUGCAGGAGCAACUGAACAAAUCCAUAUACAUCUUACCUCAUGAAGAAGUAAUUCAUCAUGAUGAAAGCUAUUCAGUUCCAUACUCAUCUUCAGAGUUUUUGGUAUGAAAAACAGGAACAACUUUUCUUUUGUCAAAAGA
This is a long non-coding RNA of Motacilla alba alba, 18688 nucleotides long. RefSeq lists it as uncharacterized. The transcript has 3 exons. The record is from RefSeq and is a predicted model, not a curated record. Lineage: Eukaryota; Metazoa; Chordata; Aves; Passeriformes; Motacillidae.